GACGAACGCUGGCGGCGUGCUUAACACAUGCAAGUCGAACGAUGAAGCCGGAGCUUGCUCUGGUGAAUUAGUGGCGAACGGGUGAGUAACACGUGAGUAACCUGCCCUUGACUCUGGGAUAACUGCGGGAAACUGUAGCUAAUACCGGAUACGACCCUCGGAGGCAUCUCCUGGGGGUGGAAAGAAUUUCGGUCAAGGAUGGACUCGCGGCCUAUCAGCUAGUUGGUGAGGCAAAGGCUCACCAAGGCGACGACGGGUAGCCGGCCUGAGAGGGUGACCGGCCACACUGGGACUGAGACACGGCCCAGACUCCUACGGGAGGCAGCAGUGGGGAAUAUUGCACAAUGGGCGCAAGCCUGAUGCAGCAACGCCGCGUGAGGGAUGACGGCCUUCGGGUUGUAAACCUCUUUUAGCAGGGAAGAAGCGUAAGUGACGGUACCUGCAGAAAAAGCACCGGCUAACUACGUGCCAGCCGCCGCGGUAA
Molecule: ribosomal RNA, 484 nt
Filed under: uncultured bacterium
Lineage: Bacteria
Description: partial 16S ribosomal RNA
Rfam family: Bacterial small subunit ribosomal RNA
Source: RNAcentral